ACGAAUUUCUUAGAAACUGUAAAAUAAUUUUUCCGACAAUUUUUUUACAUCAAACCAAAUGCUAGUAAAACAAUUUUCAAGCCUGAAAAUUUUUUUUCAGGGUAACCAAACACACCCUAAGCCAUUUUCGAUGAUGGAACUUCUGAAUCGAUGAUCGGCUCCGUUAGACUUGAUUUAGCGUAUUUGAACUAUCUAAAAAAUAAAUUUGUUGUUUUUGAAAGGAUUCAAAAUCAACAAUAUUUUCUUUAUACUAUCUAUAGCAAGAUCAGUAUUUCUGAUAAAAAAUUUUAGUGCUAUAUCACCGCUAGGUAAAUGAUAUCGAAACAUUGCAAAAUUUAUUUUCUAAACACUUUAAACACGCUAGAUCAAGUUUAACGGAGCUCAUCAUCAAUUCAAAAGCUUCAUCAUCGAAAAUAGCUUAAAAGCAAGGAAGCCUCCGUGCUCCUAAUAGCACACAAGACCUACUAUAUAUACAUAUAUAUAGAGAGAGAGAGCUGGGCUACUAUGCUAACUUUCAACUUGGUUGAAUAGUUUGAUCUAACGGGUGAGAAUGAUCAGAGGGUAGAUCUAAUGGCAGAAAACUCGAUAGUAUCAAAUGCUUGGUACUAUCGAUAGUAUAGUAGCCGACUUAUAUAUAUAUAUAUAUAUAUAUAUAUAUAAAGUCCGGCUACUAUACUCUUAUGAGUACGAUCGCUUUCGUACUCAUAAGUUGUUUUCGAUGAUAGAGCUUCCGAAUCGAUGAUCGAUGCCGUUAAACAUUAUCUAGAGCAUUUAAAACUUCUAGAAAUCAAAUUUCAUAACUUUUCGAUAUCAUUUACCUUACGAUCAAAAGCUCACAAAAGUGACAAUUUUUAAUGGCCGGUAUGAGAUAUUUGCUAGUUUAACGGUGAAAAAGAAUCGGAAUUGGUUGAGUUUUUGAUAGAAAAUUAUAUUCACUACCUAAAUAAAGAUCAAUAACUCUGAUCUUAAAUUGAAGGAUCCGAUCAUCCAUUUUUAGGAUGUCGUUCUAUUUUAACCGUUCAUUUUAUACCGGCUUGAUGGACUUUAUAAAAUAUUUCGAAAAAUUAUGAAAUUUAUUUUCUAGAAGUUUCAAAUACUCUAGAUUAUGUUUAACGGUGUGGAUCGUCGAUUCAAAAACCCCAAUAUCGAAAACAACUUAUGAGUACGAAGGGCUCUAUACUCAUAAGAGUAUAGUAGCCCUACUCUCUCUCUCUCUAUAUAUGUAACGUCCCGAGACUCGCUACCAAUUUGGUCCUGUUCGGGCGCGUCGAACAGACGCCGAACGGACAGGACCUCCCCUGUCCGCCCAAGGCUAACAACGAGGUCAUGUACAAACAAGUUCCCAGGAAAUCACUUGAAUACAUACAUGAUCAUACAACAACAACGAGAGCACAACCAGUCCUAAACAAUCGAGAGCAAGCAUCACGAGUAAAGUACAUAUAAGUGAAAUAAAAGAGAGACACUUAUCUAUUACAACAUUCAGUUUUAAUACGUUCGAUUACAUUUAAACUUCCAAAAAAAUAUAAACAUAAAGUUUACAUCAUCCAAAAUCUCUCACACCUAUACAUCAUCUACUCUCAAUACAAAAGGGUGACUACUAAUGCAAAUAGGAAGGUAACUACAAUCUCUAGGGCGCUAAGCCCUUACUACGAUCUUCGCCGGGUGUACUUGAACUUGGUCUUGCAACAAAGUGGGGUGAGAACUACGAAUAGUUCCCAGUGGGUUCGGCCGCCAACUCCGCCGAUCUCCCCACUAGGUCUAAGCAGGCAUAGAUAGAUAACAGAUAGAUAGAUAAGCUUAAAAGCGAUAACAAUAAGUAGAAGCGAAAGUGCCCUAUCAUGCCUUAAUGUAAUAUAAUGAAUGCAUGCAACUCAUAGUAAAGGCUAGCUACCAUGCUACUAUGUUCAACAAUAAAGCUACUCAUAGAUCACCCAAUUUCUCGGCUAACCCGAAGGCUCGCUCUCAAUCUCACAUUUGCAAGUCUCGUAGGGGAGGAGAUUUUGAUCACUCGCUACCCCCGAGACCGCCUGCAGACAGCUAGCUACUGUCCGGGCAGCUCACCGACUGCCCCUGGAGUGACAAAACUCCGGAGUGCACAGCUUGUUUGGAGCGACCACUACAAGCGCAGACAGGCUAUGUAAGCACGAUCCGAUCCUUGUGAACCGGGGAUACCCUACCAACUAGGGAUGGCAUCAUCAUGGAAUCAAUGUACUACUAUACUCAUUGGUUUAGUGUUUCAACUACACUAAGGUACUCAUAUGCCACUCAUUCAUGUGUUCAAUAUUAACUAGAUGCCACUCGUUCUCAUUACAUAUUCCCAAUACACUAGUUUAUACCUUACUAGGUUUCAUUUACAUAAGCAUAUUCAUCAAUUAUCAUCUCAUUAUAGGGUUUCGCAUCAUCGUGUCCUGAUCUCAUGCAUACUAGGUUCAAGUAUCCAAACCAAUAGCACUAUACUUACACUAGCAUGCAAGAAUAUGUAAUAACACUAAAUACCCUAUAAUGCAUCAUGCUCAAUAUGCAAAUAUAAUCGACAACAAUAACUUAGACAUAAGGAGCAGUUCAACUGCUUCGGGAUGGUCACUACCCACCUGUUGGCGAUGCUACAACUCGAAGAACGGGACUCGGCAAUCUCUUGGAACGUCGCUUCGGCUCUCCGAAUAGAAACGAAGGCUACGACCGCCCCCUUUUGCCAGGAACUCUCUACCAACUCGACGAAUCGUCAAACCGUCUUCGCCGAUGCGUUUAGAUACCUAGCAAUUAGGUUUACGACCAACUAAUUUAGGUCAAAACCCUUAAUUUCUCAAAAACCCAUUUCGGAGCCCUAGAUUGCAAAUAACGCAAUCGACUCCAAUUAAACCCUAGAUUCAUGCAAUUAAGACAUCACUAGCAUCAUAGGGUUUAACCAAAACCAAUUCUAGAGCAUUCUAUCAAAACCCUAGGGAGAUACCAUUGGAGUGUUAGAAGCUUACCUCCAAAAGCUUCUCCAAACAAGAGGAAGAAGAUGAAGAAGGUGAUGAUCCUCUUCUUGACCUUCUUCUCCUUCUACUCCUUCUCCUUCAACCUUAGGGAAAGAGAGAGAGAGAGAGCAAGAGCUUAGAGAGAGAGGGAGCUAUUAGGGUUCCUUGUUGGGAGAAAAUGAGAAGAGAGAGAGAUCAAAGCUUCUCAUAUAGCCCAACUUAUGCAUAUAUGCAUUUUAGCCCCUCAACUUUACAAGUAUGUGACAACCCAUUUUUGGGCACUUCGGGCUACAGGGACCGGUCCCUCUAAGGGAGGACCGGUCCCCGUCAGCAAAUUUUUCCCAGGUGAGCUUCAGCUCAACUUUGCACCCGUACGGGGACCGGUCCCUCUUAAGGAGGACCGGUCCCCGAGAGCAAUUUGGGCAUGUUGAGCAUCAGCUCAACCUCCACAUGCUUACGGGAAGCGGUCCCCUCCCAGAGGGAUCGGUCCCCGAGAGCACAAAAUCUGCAAUUUGUGCACAUUUCGCACAGCUUGCUCCCGCGGGUCCUCCUCAAUGCACUUUAUGCAUUUUUGAUGACUUCGGCCUUUCCGAAUCACACCAAGUCGACAACAAGUCGAUUCUAAGCGAAGUCUAACUCUCGGAUUUCGAGAAUUCACUUCCUUAAAAUAUAUAUAUAUAUAUAUAUAUAUAUAUAUAUAUAUAGAACUAGGCUGAAAUACUAUUAAUAGCACCAAUGACUUGGUGCUAUUAAGUUUUCUGCCCUUGGAUUAAAAGAUGUGCGGUUAGGAUGAUGCGGGCCCCCUAGGGUUGAGUGGGUGGUUGGUUGAAUAGUAUAAUCGAAUGGAUGAAAAUAAUAAAAGAGGUAAAUCUAACGACAGAAAACUUGAUAGCACCAAAUGCUUCGUGCUAUCGAUAGUAUCCCAGCCGAACUCUAUAUAUAUAUAUAUAUAUAUAUAUAUAUAUAUAUAUAAUAUGUCUUUAGUGCUAUUAGGAGCACGGAGACCUUUGUGCACCUAAGCCAUUUUUGAUGAUGGAACUUCCGAAUCGAUAAUCGGCUCCGUUAGACUUGAUCUAGCGUAUUUGAACUAAUCUAAAAAAUAAAUUUGUUGUUUUUCGAUAUUAUUUACCUAGUGAUUGAAAGGAUUCGAAAUCAACAAUAUUUUCUUUAUACUAUCUAUAUAGCAAGAUCAAUAUCUCUGAUAAAAAAUUUUAGUGCUAUAUCACCGCUAGGUAAAUGAUAUCGAAAAAUUGCAAAAUUUAUUUUCUAAAUACUUUAAAUACGCUAGAUCAAGUCUAACGGAGCUCAUCGUCAAUUCAAAAGCUUCAUCAUCGAAAAUAGCUUAAAAGCAUGGAAGCCUCCAUGUUCCUAAUAGCACACAAGACCUACUAUAUAUAUAUAUAUAUAUAUAGAGAGAGAGAGAGAGAGAGAGAGCUGGGCUACUAUACUAACUUUCAACUUGGUUGAAUAGUCUGAUCUAACGGGUGAGAAUGAUCAGAGGGUAGAUCUAAUGGCAGAAAACUCGAUAGUAUCAAAUGCUUGGUACUAUCGAUAGUAUAGCAGUCGACUCAUAUAUAUAUAUAUAUAUAUAUAUAUAUAUAUAUAGUAUGUCUUGUGUGCUAUUAGGAGCAUGGAGGUCUCUGUGCACCUAAGCCAUUUUCGAUUAUGGAACUUCCGAAUCGAUGAUCGGCUCCGUUAGACUUGUUCUAGCGUAUUUGAACUAAUAUAAAAAAUAAAUUUGUUGUUUUUCGAUAUCAUUUACCUAGUGAUUGAAAGGAUUCAAAAUCAACAAUAUUUUCUUUAUACUAUCUAUAGUAAGAUCAAUAUCUCUGAUAAAAAAUUUUAGUGCUAUAUCACCGUUAGGUGAAUGAUAUCGAAAUAUUGCAAAAUUUAUUUUCUAAACACUUUAAAUAUGCUAGAUCAAGUCUAACGGAGCUCAUCGUCAAUUCAAAAGCUUCAUCAUCGAAAAUAGCUUAAAAGCACGGAAGCCUCCGUGCUCCUAAUAGUACACAAGACCUACUAUAUGUAUAUAUAUAUAUAUAUAUAUAUAUAUAGAGAGAGAGAGAGAGAGAGAGAGAGAGAGAGAGAGAGAGAGGGAGCUGGGCUACUAUACUAACUUUCAACUUAGUUGAAUAGUAUGAUCUAACGGGUGAGAAUGAUCAGAGGGUAGAUCUAAUGGCAGAAAACUCGAUAGUAUCAAAAGAUAUAGAGAGAGAGAGAGAGAGAGGGAGCUGGGCUACUAUACUAACUUUCAACUUAGUUGAAUAGUAUGAUCUAACGGGUGAGAAUGAUCAGAGGGUAGAUCUAAUGGCAGAAAACUCGAUAGUAUCAAAAGCUUAGUCCUAUCGAUAGUAUAGCAGCCGACUCAUAUAUAUAUAUAUAUAUAUAUAUAUAUAUAUAUAUGUAUAGAGUCCGGCUACUAUACUCUUAUGAAUACGAUCGCCUUCGUACUCAUAAGUUGUUUUCGAUGAUAGAGCUUCCAAAUCGACAAUCCAUGCCGUUAAAUAGUAUCUAGAGCAUUUAAAACUUCUAGAAAUCAAAUUUCAUAAUUUUUUGAUAUCAUUUACCGUACGAUCAAAAGCUCACAAAUUGAGAAUUUUUAAUGGCCGGUAUUAGAUAUUUGCUAGUUUAAUGGUGAAAAAGAAUCGGAAUAGGUUGAAUUUUUUAUAGAAAAUUAUAUUCACUACCUAAAUAAAGUUCAAUAACUUUGAUCUUAAAUUGAAGGAUCCGAUCAUCAAUUUUGAGGAUGUCGUUCGAUUUUAACCGUUCAUUUUAUACCGGCUUGAUGGACUUUAUAAUGAUUUCGAAAAAUUAUGAAAUUUAUUUUCUAGAAGUUUCAAAUACUCUAGAUCAUAUUUAACGGUGUGGAUCGUCGAUUCAAAAACCCCAAUAUCGAAAACAACUUAUGAGUACGAAGGGCUCUAUAUUAUGAGUAUAGUAGUAGCCCUACUAUAUAUAUAUAUAUAGUAUGUCUUGUGUGCUAUUAGGAGCACGGAGGCCUCUGUGCACCUAAGCCAUUUUCGAUGAUAGAACUUCCGAAUCGAUGAUCGGCUCCGUUAGACUUGAUCUAGCGUAUUUGAACUAAUCUAAAAAAUAAAUUUGUUGAUUUUUGAUAUCAUUUACCUAGUGAUUGAAAGGAUUCAAAAUCAACAAUAUUUUCUUUAUACUAUCUAUAGCAAGAUCAAUAUCUCUGAUAAAAAAUUUUAGUGCUAUAUCACCGCUAGGUAAAUGAUAUCGAAAAAUUGCAAAAUUUAUUUUCUAAACACUUUAAAUACGCUACAUCAAGUCUAACGGAGCCCAUCGUCAAUUCAAAAGUUUCAUCAUCGAAAAUAGCUUAGAAGCACGGAAGCCUCCGUGCUCCUAAUAGCACACAAGACCUACUAUAUAUAUAGAAAGAGAGAGAGCUAGGCUACUAUACUAUCCGUAGCACAGAGGUCUUCGUACUACUAAGUUGUUUUCAAUGAUGCGACUUUCAAAUCUACGAUGGGCUCCGUCAAACUUGAUCUACACUUUUAAAAGUAUUUGGAAACUAAAUUUCAUAAUUUUUCGACAUUAUUUAGUUAGUGAUCAAAAGGUUUCAAAAUUGACAAUUCUAAUGGUUGAUAUGAUGCAUUUGUAAAUUUAACGGUGUGAAAUAAUCC
Molecule: long non-coding RNA, 6601 nt
Filed under: Ananas comosus (pineapple)
Lineage: Eukaryota; Viridiplantae; Streptophyta; Magnoliopsida; Poales; Bromeliaceae
Description: long non-coding RNA (ACOM_LNC038386)
Source: RNAcentral